Molecule: non-coding RNA, 123 nt
Filed under: Acidaminococcus hominis
Lineage: Bacteria; Bacillati; Bacillota; Negativicutes; Acidaminococcales; Acidaminococcaceae
Description: glmS glucosamine-6-phosphate activated ribozyme
Rfam family: glmS glucosamine-6-phosphate activated ribozyme aptamer
About the family: This entry contains a glucosamine-6-phosphate activated ribozyme that is found in the mRNA for GlmS. GlmS is an enzyme that uses fructose-6-phosphate and glutamine to generate glucosamine-6-phosphate.
Source: RNAcentral
CACGUGCCGGGAUUCCCGGCAGACGAGGAAGAGGUUUAUCGAAACGUCAGCGGAUGCCUCUCGGUAAGCUGCAAACCGUAAGCAGACCUACAAACCCCUUUGGUAACAAAGGAACACAGAAGG